GAUGAACGCUGGCGGCGUGCCUAAUACAUGCCAGUCGAGCGAACAGACGAGAGUGCUUGCCCUCUCUGACGUUAGCGGCGGACGGGUGAGUAACACGUGGGUAACCUACCUAUAAGACUGGGAUAACUUCGGGAAACCGGAGCUAAUACCGGAUAAUAUUUAGCUUCGCAUGAAGCAAUAGUGAAAGACGGUUCUGCUGUCACUUAUAGAUGGACCCGCGGUGUAUUAGCUAGUUGGUGAGGUAACGGCUCACCAAGGCAACGAUACAUAGCCGACCUGAGAGGGUGAUCGGCCACACUGGGACUGAGACACGGCCCAGACUCCUACGGGAGGCAGCAGUAGGGAAUCUUCCGCAAUGGACGAAAGUCUGGCGGAGCAAUGCCGCGUGAGUGAAGAAGGUUUUCGGAUCGUAAAACUCUGUUGUAAGGGAAGAACAAGUACGUUAGUAACUGAACGUACCUUGACGGUACCUUACCAGAAAGCCACGGCUAACUACGUG
Molecule: ribosomal RNA, 499 nt
Filed under: uncultured bacterium
Lineage: Bacteria
Description: partial 16S ribosomal RNA
Rfam family: Bacterial small subunit ribosomal RNA
Source: RNAcentral